GUACAUUUUCCCUUGGCUUAUACACAAAUAUUGAAUUUAACUUUUGUCCUAAAAAUUAAAUAAAACUGUGAUGUAAUCCCCAAAGAAAUACUUUAUAAAUGUUAUGUGCUUCCCACUGAAAGCAACUUACACAUUCUCGAGUUUCUGCAAAACUUUGCAAGCUGAGAAAUGAGUGGACUUUUUCUCUUUUAAUACAUGUGGGGGGAGGGGCAGGAGGGCGGUGAGAAAGCCUUUGAAUCUAAGAAAAGUCGUUGAAGCUUCAGUUCCUCCCAAGGAUCAUAAAUUUGAAUUUUAAGCAUCUCUAAUUGCUUCCAGGAAACAAGUUUUCUGCCUCAGAAUUAACCCAGCAGGAUAUUUAGACUGCUUCUGAGAAAAAGACGUUUAUUAAAAAGAGCAGUCACAGGGCUCUCUCAAGAAUGGAAAACAAGACUGGGUAACGGGAUCCCUUCUCUUAUCUUGAUCAAAUAUGAACUUCCAGUAAAGGCAGACAAAGUGGAAAUUGUGUUUUGCCCUCUUCUCAAGAAAAUACCUCAAGACUUUAUAAACUGUGGGGCACAUUACAAAAUGCCAUUUGCAGGGCUGACUUCACCCACAAUCACCACACCAGCUUCUUGAAAUAGAAGACCUCUGCUCUUCCUGCAUUUUAUAGUUAUUACACGAUGAUUAUGAAAUGUCAGAAUUAAAAAAAAAUUCAGACUGGG
Molecule: long non-coding RNA, 701 nt
Filed under: Cricetulus griseus (Chinese hamster)
Lineage: Eukaryota; Metazoa; Chordata; Mammalia; Rodentia; Cricetidae
Description: lncRNA (ENSCGRG00000025037.1)
Source: RNAcentral